This is a long non-coding RNA of Mastomys coucha (southern multimammate mouse), 1632 nucleotides long. RefSeq lists it as uncharacterized. NCBI's taxonomy places the organism in Eukaryota, Metazoa, Chordata, Mammalia, Rodentia, Muridae. The record is from RefSeq and is a predicted model, not a curated record. The transcript is spliced from 8 exons.
GAGAGGCUGAACAAUCACAAGUGUGUAAAUGAAUAAAUGACCUGGUGAUCACGAGCUCCCAGAGUCUCUUCCUGGAUACAAGGUCUUAACUGUGAAUGUCAUUUGCAAGAGCUGCUGGUGACUAAAAAUCAACUAGAAAAUUGCUUUCUUCCUGAUAUGGGUCUCCAGCCUGAAGCAUCGAGAUUUUCCACUGGCAUCUCGGAAUGUUCUCUCAUCUGAAACCUUAAACUUUUAACAGCUGAGCCAUCUCCCCAGCCUGCAAGAUCUUAUCUAAAAAGGGGGAAAUCACGAAAGGACAGGGAACAACUACAAACUGACAAAGGACCUCGAGUGACCUACCUGAGGACCCACGUUCAUUCCCAACACCCAAAUCAGAUGGCUUACAACUUCCUGUAACUCCAGCCUCACCCAGGGGGAUCUGAUGUUUUCUUCUGGCUUCCUCAAUCCUUUGAAUGCAAAUGUAAAGAAAUCCAGACAGAGGAUUUAUUGCCAAGUAGCAUGAACAAGUAUCAGAGAGUAUGGGUCCCAUUCUUAUGCCAUUGGACCAUGUCACUAUGAGCUUCUCCUACAUCCCAUCUCCCUGAAGGCUGGCUCACUGAGAGAACUAACGAAUGUCAGUGGGCAAUGGUGUUAUGCUGUCUUAUGCUUCUCAGCUACUCAUGUCUCUGCCAUUGUCAUGAAGUCCUCUUCAUGCUUCUGGCUCCCUGCUUGCCUCCAUGAGAGCUAUGGAGCAGGGGAGGAGUCAACCAACAAAGGAGGAAAAGUUGAUGCUGUCCUUCAGGGAUUUGAAGACUCUGGCUAUUGCACACAGACAAAUAAGAAGACUGCAAUGUGUCUCUCGAGUGUCAAGCUUAAUAUUCUUUUGAGUAGGAAGACAAUAUACAAGAUUUCCCAAGAGAACCUGUAAAAUUUGUCAUCUGGAUGCUUUUCCCAAGUUCAGCUCUUGGCCAGAGAAGCACUUAGUCUAUGAACAUGAUAGUGGGGUUCCUGAAAGCUGGUCCUGACAUGACAUGAAGCACCAAGUCAAGGACGUAGUUUUCUUCAACAACCAUGGCACUCCUACUAGAGCCAUUGUGGUCCAGACAGAUGUUCAAGUCCCUCUCCCUGAAGAGUCCAGCAUUCACAUCCCAGUGGCACAAGCUCAAGUCAGUACACCUGCAUCAAUUUCAUUCCUUAUGGCCCAUACUUGUCCCUGCUUUUGCCUGCAACAGAAGAAAUACUUGGAAAUCAUGGUGGGCUAGGAAAUUUAACAACUCCAUCUCAGACUUCCUCACCCCUCUGGGUCCCAGCCAGAUUACCACUGCACCAAGGAGAUGCGACUGGAGCAGGAGGUGGCUUUGAGCCUGCACUGUUUCCAAACUCUGGACAACUCACCACUUAAACCCCCUAUGGAUGUACUUUCUGAGCAAGUUUUCUAAGCAGCUCUAGCAGUCUGCUGGAGACUCUAGGGACAGGGCAGAAUGUCUGGGUGAUGACUACACUCUGAGCUUACAGUCUGCUUUCUGUCCCUGUAGGCAUCAAGAGGUAUCAGAGGCAGCAACAACCUCCUGAUUUUUACCUCUAGAUCCUAACUGCAGCCCUGGCUAGAUCUUUCAUUUGAGCUGGAACGUACUAUAUACUGCUCAGAGUGGC